UACCAAUAUCCGAGGUUUCGAAAUUGGACCGUAUUAAACGAUGUGAAUAUUUAUUCAAUUACGGGUCAUUUUGCUCUAUUGACUGUCCAUCGUAUAAUACCGAAUUAUAAUUAUUAGUCCAUAAAGCCAUACUGGUCAGCUACUAAUGUCCUAUUACCCCUUGGGCUAUCCUUAGUAUAUGUAUAUUUACGAGUACUAGAGCAGCAGGUGCCCAGCUGCCAGUGAUGACCAUUGGAUCCAUUGGAAGGACUUCGUGUAUAUGUACAUCUUCAAAAUGCUCGGUCGCGUUCGAUUUGUUUUUCUCCUGCUGGUGACGACAACAAUUGGACACGCCUACAAUACAGGGCGAUAUCAUCCAAUCAUAAAGCGAGCUGCUGUCUGUAGAGAGGAGGACGGACACUUGUGGUACGAGAACGAGUGCGUCUGCGUGGACGGAAGAACCAAGUGUUGCUGUGGAUCCGAGGGAAUACGAUGUACCCGGCUCAUCUCGUGUUGGUGAUAUAUCAGUGAAUUGACAUUGUUAUGACAGAUGUGCACGUGUAUACGUUUAAAUAACAAACACGGAAACAUGAAAUCAUUUAUAAACGAUUAGUUGUUUUGUCUCUCGUACAAAGUAAAGAUAGGAAAUGACACUAUCUUUUUAUCAUAUAAUAAAACCAUUUUAGAAAUUUUGAA
This is a long non-coding RNA of Magallana angulata, 675 nucleotides long. RefSeq lists it as uncharacterized. The record is from RefSeq and is a predicted model, not a curated record. Lineage: Eukaryota; Metazoa; Mollusca; Bivalvia; Ostreida; Ostreidae. The transcript is spliced from 2 exons.